AGAGUUUGAUCCUGGCUCAGGAUAAACGCUGGCGGCGUGCCUAACACAUGCAAGUCGAACGAUCCCGCAAGGGAGAGUGGCGGAAGGGUGAGUAACACGUGGGAAUCUACCUCCUCGCAGGGAACAACCUCUCGAAAGAGAGGCUAAUACCCAAAAGGGUCAGAAAUGAUCAGAGUCGAAAGGCGUGAGGAGAGGAGCCCGCGGCCCAUCAGCUAGUUGGUGAGGUAAUGGCUUACCAAGGCUACGACGGGUAGGGGAUCUGAGAGGAUGUCCCCCACACUGGAACUGAAACACGGUCCAGACGCCUACGGGUGGCAGCAGUGAGGAAUACUGGACAAUGGGCGAAAGCCCGAUCCAGCAACGCCGCGUGGAGGAUGAAGGCCUUCGGGUCGUAAACUUCUUUAGAGGGAGACGAGAAAGGACGGUAUCCCUAGAAUAAGCGACGGCAAACUACGUG
RNAcentral lists this ribosomal RNA (457 nucleotides) under uncultured bacterium. RNAcentral describes it as "bacterial SSU rRNA". It matches the Rfam family "Bacterial small subunit ribosomal RNA", at positions 8 to 507 of the family's 1533-position model. The record is from RNAcentral.